UACCAUGGUGGUAACGGGUAACGGGGUGUUAGGGCACGACACCGGAGAGGGAGCCUGAGAAACGGCUACCACAUCCAAGGAUGGCAGCAGGCGCGCAAAUUACCCAAUCCCGACACGGGGAGGUAGUGACAAUAAAUAACAAUACGGGGUUCUUUAGGAUCUCGUAAUUGGAAUGAGUACAAUUUAAAUCUCUUAACGAGGAACAAUUGGAGGGCAAGUCUGGUGCCAGCAGCCGCGGUAAUUCCAGCUCCAAUAGCGUAUAUUAAAGUUGUUGCAGUUAAAAAGCUCGUAGUUGAAUUUCGGGGUCAGUAGGUCGGUCGUGCCACUGGUAUGAACUGGUUUUACUGAUUCCUCCCUCUUGAAGAACUGUAAUGCCAUUAAUUUGGUGUUGCAGGGAAUCAGGACUGUUACUUUGAAAAAAUUAGAGUGUUUAAAGCGGGCUUUAGCUUGAAUACAUUAGCAUGGAAUAAUGAAAUAGGACGUUUGAUCCUAUUUUGUUGGUUUCUAGGAUUGACGUAAUGAUUAAUAGGGAUAGUUGGGGGCAUUAGUAUUCAAUUGUCAGAGGUGAAAUUCUUGGAUUUAUUGAAGACUAACUACUGCGAAAGCGUUUGCCAAGGAUGUUUUCAUUAAUCAAGAACGAAAGUUAGGGGAUCGAAGACGAUCAGAUACCGUCGUAGUCUUAACCAUAAACUAUGCCGACUAGGGAUCGGAUGAUGUUAAUUUUUUAAUGACUCAUUCGGCGCCUUACGGGAAACCAAAGUGUUU
RNAcentral lists this ribosomal RNA (765 nucleotides) under uncultured Glomus. RNAcentral's name for it is "SSU rRNA". It matches the Rfam family "Eukaryotic small subunit ribosomal RNA", at positions 342 to 1108 of the family's 1831-position model. Lineage: Eukaryota; Fungi; Glomeromycota; Glomeromycetes; Glomerales; Glomeraceae. The record is from RNAcentral.